GGGGUUGUGGCUCAGUGGUAGAGUGCUUGCCUACUGUGCAUGAGGCAUUGGGUUUAAUACUCAGUACCA
This 69-nucleotide transfer RNA is filed under the name Marmota monax (woodchuck). Its description in RNAcentral is "tRNA.Ser". The record is from RNAcentral. Lineage: Eukaryota; Metazoa; Chordata; Mammalia; Rodentia; Sciuridae.